UCGGGAAUUUUGGGCAAUGGGCGCAAGCCUGAUCCAGCCAUGCCGCGUGAGUGACGAAGGCCUUAGGGUUGUAAAGCUCUUUUGGCGGGGAAGAUAAUGACGGUACCCGCAGAAUAAGCUCCGGCUAACUUCGUGCCAGCAGCCGCGGCAAUACGAAGGGGGCUAGCGUUGUUCGGAAUUACUGGGCGUAAAGCGCACGUAGGCGGAUUUGUAAGUCAGGGGUGAAAUCCCGGGGCUCAACCUCGGAACUGCCUCUGAUACUGCGGAUCUCGAGUCCGGAAGAGGUGAGUGGAAUUCCUAGUGUAGAGGUGAAAUUCGUAGAUAUUAGGAAGAACACCAGUGGCGAAGGCGGCUCACUGGUCCGGUACUGACGCUGAGGUGCGAAAGCGUGGGGAGCAAACAGGAUUAGAUACCCCUGUAGUCCCUGAGCGGGCUGGCAAGGCGCAU
Molecule: ribosomal RNA, 447 nt
Filed under: uncultured bacterium
Lineage: Bacteria
Description: bacterial SSU rRNA
Rfam family: Bacterial small subunit ribosomal RNA
Source: RNAcentral